This 131-nucleotide non-coding RNA is filed under the name Streptomyces sp. Lineage: Bacteria; Bacillati; Actinomycetota; Actinomycetes; Kitasatosporales; Streptomycetaceae. The record is from RNAcentral.
AUCAGGAAGCCGGUGCGAGUCCGGCGCGGUCCCGCCACUGUGACCGGGAAGCGACCCUCCCGCACGCCACUGCCCGCGACCCCGCGGGCGGGAAGGCGGAGGCGAGCGACGAUCCGGGAGCCAGGAGACUG